CCAAAGCACACCAUCUGCAGCAGGAACCAGGCUUGCCUGAAGACUACAAAGGCAACAUCAUGGUCCUUGGACAGAAAAGGGAAGGAAGAUGAACAGAGGGCCGGGGUAGCCUGAGGAGCAGGGGCUGUAAGGCUUUUCACAACAGACAGGCAGGGCAUGGCGAAUUUAAGAGUCAGCUCUGUGUGAAUGAGGUGCUCGAGAUUACUGCUCUGCUGCUUCCCUUACUGGCCACGCUGGCUCUUCCUGGCAUCUUUCUCAAGAUCGCUCCUGAGACGCCACACAUUCAUUCUUAGGAUCAUUUCUAAGUCUGAAUGUUACAAAAGUAAUCUAAGUGUACUUUUAAAUUACUAUCUGCGGCUGCCGUUUUUGUCUGCCUGUCCUGUGGUAAUGUGAUGCAUUUCCUAAUCCAUUCGCUGCUCCUGAUCUGCAGAGCAGCACACCAGCGGGCAGCUCGGGCAGGGGCCGGCGCCGUGCCUCUGCCCUGCCCGGCGGGGGAAGCCCGCGGUGCCGGCGAGGCCGCGCCGGGCCCCGCUCCGCUCUUCCCCGCGCCGCGCGGCCACACAAGAUGGCGGCGGGGCGGAGGCUGGCGGCCGGGCCCCGCGGCGGGGGUGCUGCUGGGCGCGGCCCGCUGCGCGGCCUCCCGGGCACAGCGCGGGGAGACAGGCCUCCAGCCCCGUUUUUUCCCCUGCCCUAUCACACGAAGAGCUGCAGGAGCGGCAGGAGAGGCAGCAUGUGUCCUGUUUGCAGCGCUGAAAUGACACCAGGUGACUUGGGCACGGACAGAGGAGAGCGGAUGGUGCCCCGGUGCGCUGAAGGGCUGAACAAGGAUCACUGCUACUGUAAAGCCAUAUGCAGUGCUUCACAGUUGUGCGCAUGAUCUGGUAGGAUGGUGAGACUACCAUGUUUCCUUGGAUAAGUAUCAGAACUUCAACUUGAACAAAUUUGGAUUAAGUUUUACUCAUUUUAGAAGAGCACUCCUAUGCAACAUAUGAAGAUAGUUUGAAGAAGCACACUGCUUAAAUUGACAAUGAUUUAUUGUGUUUAGGAACAUUCAAUAAAUACCAAUCAUUUAGCUUCAGUUUGGAAAUCCUUCCCCAUUAAAAAUCCAUUCUUUGUGUUGUUUUUUUCUGGCAUAAACUCCAUUGCCAGCAAUGGAUGUAUCAGAAAAAGAAGUUAAUAAAUACAAACAGACAGCAGUUUUCUAAACAUACCUCCUGUUUUAAAGGCAUGAUACAGAUUUACUAAACAAAUCUCAAGUUCUUCACAGAAGAAAAUUUUGCUACAAGCUGUCUCUGAACAUUGUUUUCUUCACUAAUGCUGGUAGUUUAUUUCAUGGAGUAUGGUAUUUUUGAACAGUAAUGAUGAAUCAUUUAAAAACAAGCUUCCCCCCCCACCCCGCUUCUCCUUUGCCCAAUGUAUGCUGAGACCUGUAGCUAGUACUGAACUGUAUAAAUUUAAGAGUGGUGUGUCUCUUGUUGAGCACUUAAUGGCAAACAUGAAGAAACAGCAAUAUGGUACUUUUUUUUACUAGGGAUCUGGGGGAUUUAUUUUUUCACCUUGAUUUUAAACCACUGUUCAAGUGUUAAAGGUAUCAUAUUUAAGUGUAACAGUUGUUUUGCGUAACUUUCUGUGAAGUGUAAAAACAUAAUGAAAGAUUCCUGUUUCUGAUGAAAAUAAUUUUCAAGUACUUAAAUUUGAAUAUCCCUCUGAACUCCAUUCAUAUUAUAUUAAAAAUGUGUAUAAAAGCAUGAAGACUGCAGAAAACCAAUUAACAUAACAGAGUUAAUCUUGAAUUAAAUUUUUCCACAACUGUAUUUUACAUAUAACCAAACUCCUGCUUUAGCAAAAGCAAAAAGAAUAAAAAUAAAUUCUCUCCCAACUAUUUAUACUCAGGAAUUACCUUGCUGUGGGACUCGAUAGUUCAGUCUACAGUCCCUCUAACCCAAAGUGUACUCUUAGCUGUAUCCCUUUGUGAUUUAGGGUCUUGGAAGUUUUCAGCAAACCUCUCUCUUGCUUUAUCCCAGUUCUUUUUAUUCUUGCUCUGGACAAGCUGAACGUCUUCAAUUGAGGCCGGUCUCCUAGUACCUAAACCUGCAUGCUUCUGAUGUAACUCCAGUUGGAUCUGUCAAAUACAUGAAAUACUGUUGUAAUUGCAAGUUAGGUAUUCUAAAUGCUACAAAUUCUGGUUUUCUAAUACGCCAUGCCCUCUCCCCAAGCACUUCUCUUUCAUGUUCUAAAACACCUAGAUCAUACACGAACAGUACCAGGAAAAUGAUGUGUCAGAUCAGCAUUUCUGGAACUAUGAUCAAGAGUCCUAAAUAAUGUCCCCUGCCACAAAAAUUACUGUGAAAUACACCUCACUGAGUGAGUGGCAUAUGAUCCCUAUACUGGCUAGUUUGACAACACAGAGUAUGGUAUGGCUCUAAGCAGCACUACUGCCAAAAGACAACACAUUUCUGGUGACAAAAAUGGGCUAACAUGGCUGCCACAGAGGCCCACAACUUGCUGGCUACAGUAACCUCUGCCAUCUCUUCCUCUCUCAAUGCCCAUCAUCUAGCUCAAUUUUUGUGCUACAUCAGCCUCUAAGAAAGAAUUCCACCCUAAACUGAUUUUCAAAUCACAUCACUUACAUUAUUCCAAUUUUCCUCCAGACUUUGUAUUCAAAUAUGAGAUUAUUAAUUAAAAGGCUAGAUGUCUGUCCUCCUUUGCUUAGUUUCCUAAUGAGCACAGUGUAGUGAAGGGACAACAGUACUGAAAAAUUUCAAAAUAACCCAUUAGUCAAAGAAAAAAUAAUUUGAGAUUAGUUCUACUGAGAUUAUUCCUUCUUAACCAGGGUUUUUGUAACUUUCAAAUGAAUAGUGGCAUACACUUAGAUACUUUUCACUACAAAUACAUUCCUAUUAUUUUUGUCUCAAGUGAAAACCAGAAAGACCUACCGGAUCCUUUAUGCCACCACCAUCCUUUCCCAGACCUUCCCCCUUCUUCCAUCCCAUCUUCUCCAGCAUUUUAUGUCCUUUGUUGCUGUUGCUGAUUUCACUUUGAAGAAAGUUUAAGAUAAGCAAGAGUUAAUAUAAAGAGUAUGCUUUCAAAUACUGAACAACAGAAAUGUGCAUACAUACAGAAAUCAGGAAUCAGUCCAUCAAGAGUCAUCCAGAAGAACAAGUUCACUAUCAGCUUUCUUAAAACUUCUGAACUACUUGCUUGCUUUGGGAGUUAAAGAUACAUAGUAAAAGAUACAUCAUGGGUAGGAGGGUAUGGAUUACAAUAUGGAAAAAGCGGUAUCACUGCCAAAUCAUCUUACUGCACCUAUUUCAUCAGCUCACACUUCCUUUUAUUAAUUUACACACACCUACAAGUUUAUGCUGCUUAAAAAAACCCAACUACAGCUGCAGAGGCAAAGUAAGAACAUCAAGUGUGAUUUGAGAGGUAUGUAAAUGCUGUAAAUUCAGUCCUUGAAUGGCUGAAUAUUGACAGUGAGAGAAGCUGCAGGUGAAAAUCUGCAGGUGAAAAAUCUGCAUGUGUACUAUUACUGGGACUGGAUAGGAAAAAUGAAAAUUGAACAACUUGAAAAACAGACACUAUUGAAGAUGUCACUAGUGCAGCUGGGGAGUUCUUUACAUUUUUGAGUUGGUAAGGAAGUGAUGUAAACGUCCUUACUGCCAUCCUUUACUCCUUACCUUCCAUAUAUUUUUAUAUGGAAGGUGAUGAGUUAAUAAAUAAAAGCACGUGAAAUGGGAAGUGUGAAAAACUUAAAAUUUUCUAGCUUUCCUAACACAAUAUAUACAGGUAAUUUGUAAUUUAACAAACUGCACACUAGUAACAAACUGACUCUUAUUUCAUUAUAAUUUUUUGAAGAUUCACAAGAGAAGGGCAUGGGGGAUCCUUUCCCCCACCCCCAACUUACAUAUGAACAGAAGCUGAACUGUCGUCUCUCUGAAAGGUUCCUUCACUUCCAACAGUUUCUCUGCGUUUUCCUGCUCUGUCUUUGUACUUCGGAUUUUUCACUGCCUUGUUGUCUUCAUAUUCUGUGUUCUUUCCAAGCAGAUUCAAUUGCAUCAAGACAAAGAGAGUGGGGUUUAAAUUCUUUAUUUUUGUUAACUUCCCUUUUUCCCUCCAAAAGUAUGGGAGCUUCAGCCUUUUUUAUUAAUUGUAAAUCUUGCAAUAAAACCUGCAGUCCUCACUUAGUAUUUUCUUAGCUUACAGGCAUACCUUAUAAACCAUAUUACUGCCAUCAUCAUGUAACAUUGCCAAAUUCAGUAAUUUCUCAUAAGCUGUAAAUAAAAUAACAGAUUGUCUUAAAUCUUCUCUUGGUAUGAAGAGUCAAUCUCUCCAUAUUAAGCAGAAAAUCAUGUGCACAUGCCACUGGCUUUUUAUAUAACAAUUUAGCCUGUUCCUCAGCACCUACUUAUUUUCAGGAUAAAUGACAGAACAAGUAGGUUUACAGAUUCUGUAUCAGUAUUAUUUUGGUACCUGAAGAACGUGAAAGAAAUGAUGGCAUUCUGUUUUCUACACGUAUACUUAGUACGAAUGCUGGAAGCAACUGCAUGUUAAAAUUAUCUCCACAACAGAAGUAAUUUGAAUACAUAUAUAUUAUAUUGCCUGUAUGUUCAUGUUGGUGUUCUUCUAUGGACUUAAAAACCUGAAAAAAUUCCCAUUCCCUUCCAUAAUUUUUUCAGUUGCUCAUUAUGUUUCCCUUACAAAUGAAAGAGAGAACUUCAACUCAGUGAAAACUUAAUCUACAGAAAUAAAAACUGAAGUGUCUUGCAAAAUCUUAACUUCCAAAGAUUAGGAAUCUUGUACACUUUGAAAGGAUCUUUUUUUCUAAUUUUCAUUGGAACUUUCAUGCUCUCUUAUCAUCAUCUUUCUUUGUAGAGGUUUGUAAAGCAUAAUUAUUUAGGGUACAAAAGACAAAUGAGGCUGUUUUGGGGCAUUUGAAAACCUCCCUUAUGCAACAAAGUCUAUAGCUUAAAAUAGGAAUCAGAAAGUACUUAAAAAAAAAAGUUAAGAACCACAAGAUCACAAAAACUUAAUCAACUUCUGCUGUAAACUCACCUGUAAACCAUAUUUUACCCGUAUUUGUUUUAAUGCUUUUCUUCUGACUAGCUCUCUCUCUUCUUUGCUAAGUGCUGGACAAACUAAAAGGAAGAACACAGGAUUUAAUUUGUAAUUACUAAUCUAACGUUUUGAAUCAUAAGACUAAUGAGAGAAUUUUUGUUCUGACAUUAUUAUACACAGACGCAUAUGCCAAGAAAAAAAUACAUUAUUAUGUACAACUAUUAUCAGCUGACAAGAAAAUGAUACGAAAACUGAACUAAAUAUUAUUUUUCUAAAGUAAACAGCCAUAAUAAAAAUGUAUACUGUGAUAAUAUUACUAACCGAAAGACUCUUUUUUCUUGUCCAGGCGAAGAUGUGCUCUAACUUGUCCUGGUUCACAUCCAUCACAAGUAUCACUGCCAGGGUGAAUAUGAAAAGAAAGCACAGUUUCGCCAAUCUUCACCUCAUCUCCAUGCUCCAGGAUGUAGGGAUCACACUUUGUUUUAGGCUACACCAAAAGAAAGUUUUGCAGCAAACAUGAACAAGAGUUACCUUACUGACUCCAACUUCAGGAAUCUGAAGCGUGUGUCCAACAUCUUUUUCUCUGGAAAGGCUCUUUAGUGCAUCUUGGUGUCCAUGUUCCAUGGUGAAGUUGAACUCUUAGUGGCAUCAGGAAUGCUAUUCAUCAACAUGGAUAAGAAAAAAUAAUAAACAGAACCUACAGAUGCAUAUGCUUUUUUGCCUGAUUAUUAUAUUAAGAUACUAUAUUCUGACAGCUGUAUGAAUUCUGUACUUGGAUGUACAUUUGUAGAAACAAUCUCCAAUGACCUUCAGCUAGGAGCAGACAUAAAUGAGAAGACACUACCUUAAAAGAAGCUGCCAAUCCAAAAGAAGAAAUCUUCAGAUUAGCCAUGGUUUCUGUCAACUGACGUACCUAAAGAUGGGAUGAAUAUCAGCAAAAAGUAAACUACAUGUGAUAAAAAAGUAAAAAAAUCACUGCUUCAAGAGUUCUAUGGGAAACACUGCUAAAACCACCUUGCCUCUCCUAUAGAAAUAGCUAUGAUGAAUCUGUAAUGGAAAAGAACAUUGUAAAAGUUAAUUUUGAGUACUACACUGAAAUAAAAUUUAGUAGGUGGUAGCUUGAAAAUUAAAAAAAACCCCACAAUUUAAAAACUAUUUAUGGAAAAAAUGGCAUGUGUCAGAACUUCCUUCCAAAUUUUGCUAUGUAUUUCCAACCGCCUCAAGGCAGCAAGAAGAACUGCAGGAUCACUACCGCACACAGUCUACUCUCCAAACUGGAAUGUAUGGAAACCCUGGAUCUUGAUAUUGGGCCAGGGAUCCUAUUAUCACUUAUGUCACCUUUUAAAAAUGUUUAAACUUUUCCAAAUUUACUUAUUUAAAGGUUUUUCUUGUACAGAAGAAAAUACAAUGUUACUUGACCCACCUUUUUUUCUGACCUACCCCUACAAAAAGAUACCAGAACUAAACUGUAUGUCUAAAAGUUCCAAGGUAUUGUACAAAUGUUUUUAUACAACCUGCACAGAGGCUAACACUUCAUCCUGGCAAAAAAAAAAAAAAUCCUGAUUGUCAGUUAAAAGCAAGCUAGUAGAGAUAGCAUACUUUGUUUCACAAGUAAAAAGAAACUAUUUGUAAUAUAGUUUCAGUUUGUGACUGGAAAGCAACCAUUUGUCUUUAAGGAAAGUUCUUGUAUGAAUUACACAUUCCCCAGGUGAUAGUAAGCACAUGAUUUUCCCUUCCGCUGUUUUUUACAAUUAGAAUUACAUUGAUGUUAGCCAACACUUAUGAGUAUUUUCUUGCUUUUCAAAAGGUUAUUUACCUUUUAAAAAAUGCAAUAAUAUUUUAACAUAUUAAUUUUAUCCUUUACCUUCUCAGAAUUAUAUUGGGUUUUCUUUAAGAAUGCUACAACAUUUUUUGACAACUCGCUGUUUCUGUAGUGUUAAGUAUCCUAGUUUUCUGCUUGCAAAAAAAUACUGUAUAUAAGAGAGCUGAGUAUAUGAACUUCCUCAUAAUAGCUAGAAAUUAAACCACAACAAAAAAACCCUCCUGUGACCAGAAACAGAAAGUUAAUGGAUUGUUCCAGUUACAAUAAUUUUUUAAACAAAAAAAGGUACUAACUUUAAGUCAUUCAAAAUUCACAUGCAAUUUUGGUAAAAAUCUACCUAGAAAUAUAUGCUUCAUAAUCUACACACAUAACUGCUAAAUUUCCUUAUUUCUUGUAUUUGACAAUUUCUAAGUAAUUAUAAAUAUCUAUAAAUAUUUGUUUACAUUUAUUCCUUUAACUAAAAAAGAGGAAAAAAAUUGGUAUGAUUCUGUAAGUACUGCUGUCUUCCUCUGCUUUACAUGGAUAUUCUUAUAAACCACCUCAGCUUCACCCAAGAAUUAUAAAGUUCAUGGGGUGAAUGACAUGCUCCAGAAGGACACCCGACUUUCUUAACACUAAUGGUCCACAGCCCAGGCAUUAAUCCAAACCCUUUUCCUAUCUGUACCAUCUGUAGAAAAAGCAAGACAAGUAAAAACCUACUUUGGUCAAGAAAUGAGGCAAUGUUGGGACCAUUUUUUCAGGCUAGCAGCACAAUUUAAUAAUCAGUUGGGAAAAGCAGUAAUGAGGCACUAGUCUUCAAAAGCAUUGUUAUAACUUCAAUAAUUUAAACAGCUUUCAGGGAGAAGAAAAGAGAGAAGGCUGGGCAGUACGUUUGGAGAAAAGCAUUUCAAUAUACUAUGCAUCAACUACAAAGUCCUAUUUAAAACCAGAUGUUUUUAGUUUUAUUCUACUAUGAACUGAUUAGUGCCUUGGCCAAUACAAGACUAAACUGGACAACAAUUAUACUGCCAAAAAAUACCAUGCAUCUAUGCACUUGACUGUGUAGCUUAUAGACUAAUUUUCCCAUUUUAUAAUAGAAAAAUGCCAUCUGUUAUUCUAGAAAAUCUUAAUCCUUUAUAUUAAUGUACCAUUGAAUUUUUAAGUUAUUAAUAACCACAGUACAAUAAUAAAAUAUUUUAACUCAGCUAUGUAAACUAUAUCAGUAAGUUUUUCUUCUAAAUCCAGCAGUUCAUUUACAAAGAAGUGCACUAACAGAAAGGCAUUCUUCUACUUUUGCAGUUUAAAAUGGAGUGUCCUAUAUUUCACUUAGUACUCUCCCUGUUUGUGUUUAAAAAAAUUAAAAAGACCAUGAUUACUUCUUGACAUAGACCUUCACUCUCUAUUCACAGAAGAAAAAACCUGUGCACUACAGUAUACUUUAAAUGUUUUCCCUGUUACCUUGUUGGUCAAACAAAUUAACUCACAAAUAAAGCAAAGUACUCAGUUUACCAUCAAUAAAACAGACAAGAAAAAAAAUGGAUGUUUACCUUCUACCUUGUGACUGUGGAAGUCUCACAGAAAAGAUCUGUUAACAAGACUAUCUAAACAAAAACACUGGUAUGAAGUAAUCUUAAGACAAACCUCUAUUUCUAGUAUAAUCAGAUUACAGAUUUUAUUACUAUGAUGGGAGUCUAAAGAGUAGGCAAAAUUAUUUGAUAGGUCAGAGCUAUACACAGCUUGGAAUUUUUAUAAACACUCUUGUUGGUUUAGGCAACAGUUCAUCACAGAACUAAAUUUAAGAGACCUAUUUAUCUGUUUAUGAUAAAGACUUAUUCCUAUGAGCUUUUCAUGAUUCUUUCCUGGCACAUGAUGGAUAAAGUUCUGUAUUGACUAAUGCCUUUUGAGAGCAGCAGAAUGCUAAUUCAGCAUUUGCACAGAGCAGGCCCUGAACCUGGGUGCUGGUAAAACUGCACUUCCACUGCAAUAGCUCUGUUCUCUAAAGAAGCGUUAUGCUUAGUGUUGCUAAGUACCCAGAUCUAGCUUUCCAAAUGGAAGGGUUCACUUGAAGUUUCCUCAAGAAGCAGAAAUUCCUGCAUUAGCCACAAUUUGUUUAUAAAAUGUGUAAUCAGUCAACAACCACUAUCCAUUUAACCUAAUUACACUUUUUCUCAAUGUAAAUAGUUUCCAUUUUCAAGUCUUUCUGGUGACCUCACUCCUGAUUAAAUUUUUUAACUGUACACUGAUGUUAUAUGACAAUUAUAUACAAGUAUCUGGACAGUAACGUAAUUGUUUCAGAACCAACCUGCAUGUCUGAGGCCUACAUAAUGAAACUAUGUAAUGGUCAAAGCAAUAGCUUUGAAGAAUGCAAACCAAAUAUAUUCAAUUUUAUCUUAAAAUGAUAAAACAAAUUGACAGAAUAGAACUCAACAUCAAUAAGUGUGUUCAUAAUGGAAAUGCUUCCUGAGGUUUAAUAGGUGUGUUAGUACUUCUUAGUGUUCAGGAGUCAGUAAUGUUUUUCAAGACAGCA
This is a long non-coding RNA of Passer domesticus (house sparrow), 9383 nucleotides long. RefSeq lists it as uncharacterized. The record is from RefSeq and is a predicted model, not a curated record. The transcript is spliced from 6 exons. NCBI's taxonomy places the organism in Eukaryota, Metazoa, Chordata, Aves, Passeriformes, Passeridae.